Cercocebus atys (sooty mangabey) is the source of this 99-nucleotide ribosomal RNA. Lineage: Eukaryota; Metazoa; Chordata; Mammalia; Primates; Cercopithecidae. The record is from Ensembl.
AUCUGCAGCCACACAACCCCAAUCCCGGAUGGUAAGCAGGGUUUGGCCUGGCCACCACUUAGAUGGGAGACUGCCUGAAAAUACUGGGUGCUGUAGGCU